Long non-coding RNA from Oreochromis niloticus (Nile tilapia), 225 nucleotides. RefSeq lists it as uncharacterized. Lineage: Eukaryota; Metazoa; Chordata; Actinopteri; Cichliformes; Cichlidae. The transcript has 2 exons. The record is from RefSeq and is a predicted model, not a curated record.
AACCAGGACCAGCUGGAAGACUGUGCACAAGGAAACCUACAGCCAAGGCACCAAAAAAACGUAACAAAACUUUUGCUAACAGAGUCACAGUUGGAUCAGUCGGGUCCUGUUCUGCUGCUUUCUGCUUUGGGACUGAUUCAAGAGAAAAGAACAUUUUUAUUUUAUUGUUCCAUCGUGAUGAGCAGCAGACACUGAGGAUCCUCAUGAAGUCUUGAUGCAGGUCAG